This 89-nucleotide non-coding RNA is filed under the name Pseudomonas tolaasii NCPPB 2192. Lineage: Bacteria; Pseudomonadati; Pseudomonadota; Gammaproteobacteria; Pseudomonadales; Pseudomonadaceae. The record is from RNAcentral.
UGUGGGAGCGGGCUUGCCCGCGAAUGCAGUGGUUCAGUCAAUACAUACUUCACUGAACCACUGCAUUCGCGGGCAAGCCCGCUCCCACA